RNAcentral lists this unclassified non-coding RNA (462 nucleotides) under Hevea brasiliensis (rubber tree). Lineage: Eukaryota; Viridiplantae; Streptophyta; Magnoliopsida; Malpighiales; Euphorbiaceae. The record is from RNAcentral.
AAACUGAAAAUGAUAAAAAAUUAAAUUCAUUAAAAUCGAAUUUAGACCAACCAUAUGAGUAGGCUGUUGUCUCUUGCUGCGACUAGUGAGUGAUAGGCGACUAUUAGCAGUUGAACCCAAUGGAUUUGACUUGGUCCCAGACUUUUAUUAGACUAAUCCAAUUGGGCCCAGUGGAGAACAUGGUCUGAACAUUGGUGACAGAUAAACAUAGCCCGUCAUCUUCUUUUCUUUCCUCUACCUUUAUGCUUCUCCCUCUUUCCCAUUGGGCUUCGGCUACACAUGAGGAAGCAGCGGUCAACAAAAACAGUCUUCAUUCACACUGUGACUUAGCGGUAUUUUUCCAUCCUCGUAAUUAAAUUAAUUCAUCCAUCUCCUGACUUACGCAGUGAUUGUAGCGGCAUACCAUAAUUCUCAAGUGCUUAAGAUCAAUCACCAAUAGUCACCGCACGAGCAAGCUCCAUC